Molecule: long non-coding RNA, 238 nt
Organism: Helianthus annuus (common sunflower)
Lineage: Eukaryota; Viridiplantae; Streptophyta; Magnoliopsida; Asterales; Asteraceae
Exons: 3
Source: RefSeq, a predicted model, not a curated record
UCGAACAGAGAGAGAGGGGCGACCAGGAGAAAUUCCAAACCCUAAAAUCUCAAUAAUCUUGCAAAUUGAAGGAUUAAUCCAAGUAGAAAUCGAGAAUUGAGCCUAGAAUCAUAAUCCUCAUCACAAGAGGAUUGUAAGGACAAGAUACCGGGACGUCGAGCGGACAAGCCGGUGGUGAUUCUCGUUUGAAGGGCGUGCGCCAAGGACAAGAUACCGGGACGUCGAGCGGACAAGCCGG